GGCUAAUCCUGGUCGGACAUCAGGAGGUUAGUGCAAUGGCAUAAGCCAGCUUGACUGCGAGCGUGACGGCGCGAGCAGGUGCGAAAGCAGGUCAUAGUGAUCCGGUGGUUCUGAAUGGAAGGGCCAUCGCUCAACGGAUAAAAGGUACUCCGGGGAUAACAGGCUGAUACCGCCCAAGAGUUC
RNAcentral lists this ribosomal RNA (183 nucleotides) under Salmonella enterica subsp. enterica serovar Heidelberg str. SARA32. RNAcentral's name for it is "partial 23S ribosomal RNA". It matches the Rfam family "Bacterial large subunit ribosomal RNA", at positions 2319 to 2501 of the family's 2925-position model. The record is from RNAcentral. Lineage: Bacteria; Pseudomonadati; Pseudomonadota; Gammaproteobacteria; Enterobacterales; Enterobacteriaceae.